RNAcentral lists this long non-coding RNA (8942 nucleotides) under Populus trichocarpa (black cottonwood). RNAcentral's name for it is "long non-coding RNA (PTRI_LNC001687)". Lineage: Eukaryota; Viridiplantae; Streptophyta; Magnoliopsida; Malpighiales; Salicaceae. The record is from RNAcentral.
AAAUGUUGUGCAUAAGAUUCAAAAUACUCCAUCACCUGAGUGUGAGUAGGAUACGUGUCUGUUAUCGAGGGAGGCCAUGGAAAAUCAGAAAACUGGAAAAUUUCUUUGGUGUUUUGGAGUCUGGUUGACUCCAAAGUAUGUGACCAAACUCCUCCAAUUCUAUCUUCAGCUUCAAACACAAUCGGGUUGAGUCCAAUGUUGAGAGCGUACUUACAGGCAAGAAGGCCACUUGCUCCUGCUCCGAUGAUAACAAUCUGCUUUUCCAUCUGUCAUGGGUGAACUGAGAGAUGCAUUUAGGAUCAUUGCAUUAAAUAGUAAUUUAUUGCUAGGUGAUAUCAGAAGCCAUCAAAGGCUCAGGCUGUACAUGCCAAUAAUGUUUGUUUGUUUUUGUUUUAAGAAAAUUUUUGAAAAAAUUUAAAAUUUUUUAUUUUUUUAUUUUAAAUUAAUAUUUUUUAAUGUUUUUAUAUCAUUUUAGUGUGUUAAUGUAAAAAAUAAUUUUUCAAAAAUAAAAAAAUAUAUUAUUUUGAUGCAUUUCUAAAUAAAAAAACACUUUAAAAAUCAACCGCAAUCACAUUCUCAAAUAUGUAAUACAGUAAUCAAGCUUAUAUGUCUGCAAAAGUUCUCCCUUUUUUUCCCUGUUAAUUUAGCUUGAGAUGGUCAAAACUUUUUUUUUUUUUUUUUUUUUUUUACAGUGAGAUGCGUUUAGGACCAGGGUAUUAACAAAAACUAAAGGUUGUGGGUAAAAUAUUCUAGCAGUUUUCACUGUUUAUUUUUUUACUAUUCAUUAUGGAAUUAUAGUAAUGUAUUUUUUAAAAAUUUUUAUUUUCAUCCUUAAAUUAUUAUUUUUUUGUAUAAUUUGGGUCCAAAUUUGAAUACUAUUACAUGUUUUUUAAAAAAUGGUUGAAUUGCAAGAAAUAAAAUUGAAGUGAAAAACACUGGACAUAAGUGAUGGCUUUGAGAUUUAAAAAAAAAAAUCAUUUUCAUUCCUCGUCUUUUUUAGCUAUUAGGUGACCGGUCCCUAUAAUUUUUUAAAAAUAAAUUUUAGUACUAAACUUCAUUUCUCUUAUUUUUUAGUUUUUUUUUGUGGAGGAGAGAAAUGAAAUCGCUGGAUUUUGAUUUAGAGAGAGAAAGUUGUUAUUUUCUUUUAUUUUUUCUUAAAUUUUCAUUUUUUAUAUUUCUUUUUUUAAAAUAAUUUUUAAAUUUAUACUUUAAUUAAUACCUCUUCUCUCUUAUUUUUUUGGUUUUUAUCCUUUUUAAAUAGUAAUUAUUUUUUAAUUAUAUUAAGUGUGUUUAAUUUUUUAAGAAGUUAGUAUGAUUCAUUUGUAAAUCUUUUUUUAUAUUUUUUAUAGUUUAAAUAUUUAAUUUUUAUUAUAUUUUUAAUAUGUGCAGCCUUGCAUAAUUUUUUUUUAUUCGAUAAUUUUUAUGUAUUUAUCAAUUUUUAUUAUAAAUUAAUUUAAAAAAUAUUCAUUAAAUACAACCAGGUAAAUAACUUUUUUUUAACUUUUGAAUAAAGUUUUUUUUCCAUGUUAUCACAAUCAUUUUUUUUAUAUAUGUAUUUUCUCAUUUGCUAUCUUUGCUUUUUUUAUUAAUAUAAUUUAAAUAUAAUUUAUUUAUUUAGUUGAUUGUAACAUGAAUUAUUAAUUUUUUUUAAAAAAUGUACUUGCAAUGUAUAAAUAUUUUACUAAAAAACAAUACCAUCUAGUAUGAUAGGGCGGGCACCAGGAUAGGGCGCCCGGCGGGCACCAGUCUAGGUAAAUACUAAUUAAUUAGAAGUGAUAUCAAAAUCCAUCGAAAGGCUCGUGUUCUUCACGGCAAUAAUGUAAAAGUGGAAUCUUUUGUUUCUUUGAAUAGACCGGCCACCAUAUCAAUUGAAAUGUUUAGGAUUCCAGUAACUUUUAUUUUAUGAGUGAAUUGAUAUUUUUUUUUGUGUUUUUUAAAUGGUUUUAAUAUAUUAAUAUAAAAAAUAAAAAAAUAUUUUAAUAUAUUUUUAAAUAAAAAACACUAUAUACCAUAAUAUUAAAUAAUCUCGAAUCAUCUAGCGUGUGAAAGUAGAAAACUUUUUUGUUAAUAUUGCUUGUGUGGGUCAAGUUCUUGCAUCUACUUAGUUGGAGGAAUGAAGUUGGAUAUAAUUGCAAGAAAUGUGUUUGCCUUUAAAAGAAAAAUUAAAGAUAAUUUUUUUAUUAUUAUUAAUGUAAAUGUUCGAGUUAGCUUAUUUAUAUCUUGAUUAAUUUUAUGAAUCUUAAAAUUAAUAAUUAUAUAAGUUUUUAGUGACUUUAAAAUUCGUGAAACUCAAACUAAUAAUUUUUAAGUAAAAAACUCAAACAUAACUUUCUUUAUUUGUGAUUGCAAAAGUUUUGGUGGUCAGCUAUAGCACCGGCUUGGACUGUUUAUUGAGAUAAGCUUAUCCUAUAGUUUUUAGGAGUUAGGACUUUUGAGCAGAAACACAGUAGCCAAUAAUUGCUGUGAUACAUGCAGAGGAUAACACGGAAACCAUACUGUGAAGGCGAAGAUCAUGAUGAGAGGCCCUUGACAUGAACCAAAUUCUUGCUGCGGCGUAGAGGCCAUGGCAACAUCUGUUUGUCGCGCACUAAUUUUCUACAUUUCCAUCUUCUAGCUUUUGAAACUGCAUAAUCGAAUUCCAAAGAUCUUUCUCCAAAAAAGAGAUAAUGGCAUAAUUGGAGAACAGCCCGCCCAUGAGCACAGAUAUAUUGGCACAUUGCAUUAGAGUCUCAUAACUUGAUUUCUGUAUAUAAAGUACUUGGGCGGAUUUUCUAGUUAUUAAUUAUAUAAUAGGGAAUAUAAUAAUCAUCAUGUAUAUUAUAUCAAAGGUUUUUUAUAAUAAAUAUAUAUAUUUUACUUACAUGUUAAAAGUUUUGUUUAAACUAAUAUAUACAUAUUUGUUACUAAAGAUAAAAUACUAUUAAUACCUAAACAAUGAUUUGGGAUUCGGACCUGGUAAUAAGAUUCAAUCUUCAUUUUAUUUGCAUUGGUCUUUUUUUAAAAAAAAAUAUCGUUUUGGUUAUUCAUGAAAAAAUUAUCAUUAGUCUUUUAAAAAUGAGAUUUAUUUAUAGCAAGAUUUUGAUAUUAAUCUUUGUAAAAAGAAAACUUGUUAUUUUGGUUAUUCGUAAAAAAAAUUCAAAAUGAACCCAAAAGAUGCAAGUAAAGAAAUUCAAAAUGGACCCAAAAGAUGCAACUUUUAAUUAAUAUGCCUCUUAAAAAAAAAUUAAAAUGGACCCAAGAGAUAUAACUUUUAAUCAAUGUUAACCCAGCUCAAAUUUAUACUAUUAAUUAUUUAUAUUUUUAUGGAAAAUAUUUAUUAUUAAUAAUAUUUGUACUUACACAUAUAUAAAAUUCGUUGACAAAUAAAAUAUCAACAUACACAACACAUAGAUAACACAAACAUUUAUUAGGGGUUUGAAAUUGAAGGGAAACACCAAAACAAAACAAAAAGACAGCGAGAAAAUAUAGACUAGCUCAUGUAUCUCACGCUCUGAUUUAUUUAUUUAUUUAUUUAUUAUUAUUAGAUUAAUUUGGGUGUUUGGAUCAGUUUGUGUGCAUCUCAACUAAUCCUACGGGUACUAAAGUUAACGACCUUGUAAGCCUCCAGUGGUCCUGAGAUUUAUAGGACUCGAACUAGUGAUUUUUGAAGAGCAAACUCAUACCCUGACCAAUUAAACUACACCCGUUGCACUGAUUUAUUAUCCUUCGGAGUGGUGGGUUGUUAGUGUUGAUUCACAGUGGCUAAUAGAGAUGGUGGAGGUUGAUGAAUUGAGGGCUCUGAUAAUAGGGUUUUUCUCUUUUUGGAAGGGAGGUCGUCUUAUGUUUGGUAGAAGUGAUAGUAAUUAUUGGGGGAGAAGAAACAAUUUUGGUUCAGGACAGUGGUUAUCUUUUUGGAUAAGAAGUGAGAGGCGGUGUGUGGUGUGUGUAAUGUAUUUUUUUUGUUGUUGUUGAUUUUUCCUCCCAGUCUUGUUCUUAUCUUAGGUGAAUGAGAGGUUGGUGUUGGAUCUGUCUCCCCCCCUUGUUUCAAGAUUGUUGGUGUUUUUAUGAAGAGGAAAGGCCAGGGUUCUGGAGUCUUAACGAUCUGAAAAAUCAAUUGAAGGCAAGAUUUCGGGGGUUGAUUCAAUUUGGGCUAUAUUUGUUGGAUAAUUCAUUAUAGUCAAUCAACUUGAGCUGGGAUCUUGCAAAAUUAUCUGGUAUUUUGGAUUGAAAAGUUGAGUUAAGGGACUGAUUUUCUUAUUUGGACUUAAAUAAAACAUGAAUUACUUUAGGACUAAGUUGAAUCAGUUGGACAAAAUUGAAUUGAAGAAUUGAACUGAAUUGAUUCAAUUGGAAACAGUUGGACUAAGAAUAUGAAUUAGAUAAAAAAUAAUAGGUCCCUAGAAUAUUUCCUUCUUUUCAUUGUAGCCCUUGCUUUUGGAUUUUUCAAUUUCAUUCAAUUAAGAUAUUUAGUCUCGGAAUUUCUUUCAAUUUAAACCCUAAAUUAAUUGAAUUAAUUUAUCUUUUCAAUUUAGUCCUUGGUUUCCUAAGAUUUAUAAAUCACAUUUUUUUUUCUUUUCAAUUGUGUCCUUAAUUUAAUCAAUUUAGACCUUCACCUUUAUUGGUUUUCAUUUUCUUAUCAUAUAAUAUAAUAAAACAAAUUCAUUGAAUCUAAUGGAGUCCAUGAACUAGGUCACAGGUUAAUUUGUGUUAUAUCUUCUUCUUUUCUUUUCCUUUGAAUUUUUUUUGGAUCAUCCAAGUCAACAAGGCUACAUCGUCAAUGCAACUCCCACACGAUUUAAUUUGAAACUCGAGUUAAGUAAAGAAUCGGAUUAAGAAUUUUCAAGUUUAAAUCAUUAUACCAAGCUCAAUAACAAUGCCAAAAAAAAUUCAUUUGGCCCAGAUAUCAUCUUUGUAUGUUAAUACUGAGAAAAAUUAAUUUUGAGAAAUUUAAACCAUAUAUCAUGUUUUAUACUUUUAUCCUCACGGAUUUUUCUUUAUAAUUUAUGGAGGAGUCAGCAACGAUCAUUUAAUAUAUGUGUUUUUAUCAAAAUAGCUAGACAAAUCUUCCAUGCGUUGCGAGGAUAAUGCUAAAAGUCUAAUUCAUGUAUGAUACAAAUUCCAAAUAUAAAUUAAAAAUAACACUUGUAAUUAAAAAGUACUAGAUAUGAGUAAUUUACAAAAAAGAAAAAGAAAAAGAAAAAGAAAAGGAGAAAUAGAAAGAAUGUGCUUGGCAUUAAGGAGAUGUUACGAUAAUUAUAUAGUACUUAUUUAAUUAAUCUAAUUUUUAAUCAAAAUAUUAACUUGUCUAACAUUGUAUUAUAUACUAAAAAAAUCAUCUAGAUAUUUGACGUUGCAAUAAUAUAAUCAAAAUAAACCUUAAAAACCUUAGGAAAAAAAAGAUAAAUUAAUCUCUAAAACUUAUUAAAAGAUAAUUUAGAGAGCUUUUUUUAAAUUAUGGUUAUUUUUUGUUAUGCAUUUAAUUUUUAAAAAGGUUUUAUGAUUCAUCUAUAAUUAUUUUUUAUCAUUUGUAUAGAUGAAUUAUAUUUUUAAAAAUAAAAAAUGUUUAUUUUCAUAUAAUAUUUCUAUUACGUGUAUCCUUGCAUAAUAUUUUUUUUUAUUUAAUCAAUUUAAUGUGUUUGUCUAUUUCUAAUAUUGUUUGAUUGAAUAAAAAAAAUAUUGUAAUAAAUUUUUUUUAUCAAACAUAACCAGGUAAAUGUACCGCCUUGUGAGAUUAAAUAUUUUAAUCUACAUCUGUCUCUUGAUUUUUCAAGUUUUAUUUUUAUAUAUUGUUAAUGACUUUUUAUUUAUUUAUUAGCACAUAUAAUUCUCAGUUUUUUUGAUUAUAUAUACGGAUAAAACUUUUUAUUUGCACUAAAAAAUUUUGAACUACAUAAACAUGUUGAAUUUUUUUAUAAAAAAUUAAAAUAUAUGACCCACCGGAGCAUGGGUUACAUAACUAUUUGUGUGCGUUUCAUUUGUUCAUUAUUUCAAAAAACAAAUAUUGGAUAAAUAUCAAAUAUGGUCCCUUAAAUAUUGACAUUUUGUCAAAUCAACUAAUUAUUUAGUUUUUGGCCAAAUUGACCCAUUUAACACACACACACACUAUAUAUAUAUAUAUAUAUAUAUAUAUAUAUAUAUAUAUAUAUAUAUAUAUAUGGAAACACAUGCUAUUUAGUUGAGCAUGAGUUGGAUAGGACUCAAUUCAUUUUAAAUUCGAAGUAGCUAAAGGUUUAAUUUGACUAAAAAUAAAGAUAAUCCCAAAGGGAGCCUCUGUAAUAGAGUAGUAGUUACCCCCACAGAUGUAAUUCAAAAGCAGACUGAGAUAUCCCAAAGGGAGUUAUAACUGGCACAUAUAUCGAAAACACAUAAAAACUAUGUAGGAAGUCUCAUAAUCUUUCAGUUUAUCUAUCUUUAUUGUUUUGUGGCCCAGUAUUUAAGAAGUUCAUAUCUUUUGUGGUUUUGAUAGUCCUAUCACGUAACAACUGUUGUGGUCCUCUCAUUUAUCUUUUACUAAAAAAGUGGUGCUACAUUGGUAUCCAUUAACUAAUAUAACACCAUGGCCGAAAAGGGAACCCUCGUGACAUUGAAAUAUGCAUAUUUACACUGAAACGUCAAAAUUUCUUGGUCUGCAAUGCUGCUUGAUCAAAUCUGAUAAGUUUCAGAGAAAAACCAAAAACUAUAUAAUGGGGGAGCAGUUCUAAUACAAAUAAAUCUUCAUCUGGUAUAUGCCUUAACAAAGGUCAUGGAAUACAGAAGAAAAUGUUGCAUCGGCUUAGGAAACAUAUCAAUUAUAACAGUCAUGUCCGCGACUCCUGCUUAAAUUUUAACCAGAAGGAUAAUUAUAAACUGGAAAUAUAAAUCCAUUACUAUUUUGCUACCCAGAGAAUAUCAUUGCCCUGAACUAGUUAUUCUGCUUUGAGCAGCUUGCAGGAGCAAGCAUAUCAAAUUACAUAGUUUCAACUUGUGAUGGAGUUUUCACAAACUUUGGACAACCUCACUUACUAGUGAGACCGGCAUAAUCUGUUGGAGCAUAUGGUAUAAACAAGUCUACUAGAAAUCCCUUCUUUCUUCUGGGAUUGCAUCCCAUGUCCCUGCAAAGUUGGUCACUGUACCAUAUGCUUGAGUUGCUAAUGCAAGCUCUCCUAAAGUAGCGGCCUGUAACUUGUUUGAUGUGAUCUGCCCACAUGUUUGCUUCCUUUUCCAUGUCUCUUAUACUUGGCAAUUCAAGGUUGCCAUCAAGGAAUUGUGAUAGCCAUACACUUUUGAUUUCUGAGCGACCCAAAUUUGAGAAAUUCUCAUUGUAUCCUAUGAUAGCCAAUCGAGGAAUUCGAGGAUGAAUUAUCUGUCUGAGAGGAAUGAAAAAGAGAUUUUUUUAGUACUAACCAUGAAAUAUCAAGCUGGAUGCAUUCAUAGAGAAACUUAAAGAACGUAUAGAAAGAUAGAUGGCAAGAAAUAAGAAGUUAACAAAAGACCUAUAGAGGGAAACUGUAGAGGUCGGUGACCCCAUUAUGUUGUUCUGGAAAACAGGAGACUCAAAAAUGUUUCUCAGUUUUUCAUCACCCUUGAAUCCUGUAGCAAAAAUCACAACAUCUGUUUCUAUUGGCUGAUUCUCUCCAUCUAUGAUUAGACCUUCUUCGCAGAAGCUUAAGAUUUGGGAAUUCUUGAUAAUGAUGCUUCCUUCUUCAACUCUGUCGUAGAAUUUGUCAGGCAGCAUAACAGUCUGACAGGCAGACAUAUCUUCAAGAAAGCUGAUUUUUGGUAACAUUCCAUACUUCUUCAGUGGAAGAUUCCAUCUAAGGUAGGUCUCAAUGAGUUUUGAAAUUCCCCAUCUCUAAAAAGUUAAAAGCAAGAUAUUGGCAUAAUAAUUCAGAGCAAUUCACACAUGUAUAACAAUCAUGAACAAAAGCAAUUGGGAGAGUGAAAUAGAAGUUACCAAGGGUGAAAGCAUGGUGGCCACAAAACUUAAUAGAAAUGUUUCACCAGGCUUAUGAACCAAGAAUUCCGAGAAUCGAUUGAAGUACAAGAAACCAAGUAGAAGUCCACUCAAUUUGUCACUAGGCAAAAACCAGUGAGCAUUCCUUUGAAUCAUUGUGCAAGGGUACUUGACUCCUAAAUCAUAGAUUAUAGAAAGGCAGAGUAAACUUCAAAUGACGACAACGCAGAUUUUAAUCAAGCAUUCCAUCCACAGAUUUAACUAGAUGAAGUGGCUUUUUUGAACAUAGCAUAGACCUUGCUGCUUCUUAAAGGAAUUACUCGAGACACGCAAGUCUUUUCAUUAAGCUGAUAAAAGAGUUCAAGUAGGAACAUUUGCCUUGACAGAAAGUUUUCUUACCAUUUGCAUUGGCACAUUCUGCUGCUAUGUCAGCUGCAGUUUUAUGAGAACCAACUAUUGUAACUCUCUUUGUUUUGAUCAACUCUGCUGCAGUCGAAUUGUUCAAGGCUGAGAAGUCCUCUGAAUGCAUCACCUUGCCCUUGAACACUUCAGGCCCUUUAUUUGGAAGGAACUCUGGGAUAUUUGGAAGGCCACUGAAUUGUCCAACGCAAAGAACAACAAAUUCUGUAUGAAACACCUGACCAGCAUAAUUCAUUAGUUAUUAUGAAAAAAUAGCCACAACCACAGUCCAUAACAACAUGGAUAUAUAUAUUAAUUGACUUCUUGAAAAAAUGAACCUACUUGUAUGCUGCCAUUUUUUGUGUCUUGAACUUUGACAUGCCAUUUCGCUUCGGUGCCAAAGGGCUUGCCUGUCCCACCCCAAAGAGCCCAUGACUCCAUCUCUUCAACAGACACCCCAACAUAGUCUAUGCCGAUGACCUUGGAAUUGAACUUGAUGCAAGGAAAGAGGUUGAAAUGUUGUGCAUAAGAUUCAAAAUACUCCAUCACCUGAGUGUGAGUAGGAUACGUGUCUGUUAUCGAGGGAGGCCAUGGAAAAUCAGAAAACUGGAAAAUUUCUUUGGUGUUUUGG